RNA transcript from Sitophilus oryzae (rice weevil), 1219 nucleotides. It is a transcript of the gene named ribonuclease H2 subunit C, with no coding region annotated. The transcript has 4 exons. The record is from RefSeq and is a predicted model, not a curated record. NCBI's taxonomy places the organism in Eukaryota, Metazoa, Arthropoda, Insecta, Coleoptera, Curculionidae.
UUCGGAUGUCGUACCAUCGGAUUUCGGAUGCAUGAGACUCUGGCUUAAACUGGAACCUGACUGGAACCAACUGGAAUAAACAAUUUUCACCAUAACCAUAAUUUUAACGGUUUCUUAAUUACUUACAUUUGCAUUUUUUUUAAAUUUUUAUAAAUCAACAAACCUAAAGGUUUUCUAAUAAGAUGGCUAUACAUAUUUAUAGUGGCAAAAAUCAUAUACUACAUAAGCUCCAAAACAGCCGUGUACAAAGUAUUCCCUUCAAAAUUCUUGCAGACUGUGAUACUCCUGUAUCUAAAUAUUUUGAGCCUUACAUAAAGAGUGAAAAUGAAAUUUUAAAAGGUUCCUUUAGAGGUUACCCUUUAAAAGGUAAAAAAAUUGAUAUUCCGGAAGGAUAUGUUGGCUUAGUAGUGCAUGAAAGUAUUAGGCCAACAAAUGAGAAAGAUGAUAGAAAAUUCUAUGUGAUAAACAAAUUUAACGAAUUUACUUAUUGGAAUUGGGACAAGAUUCCAAGCAAAAACGAUAAUUUUCUAAAAGCCAUGGAUUGGAUAGAUAUUGCUGAAGUGCCUUCCAAGAAUCCAAGCAUUUUUCACAAAUACCAUAAACUAAAUAGGACUGAUUAAUUAGUCUAAUUUGUGCCUAAAUGCCUAAAAACCAUAGGUUUCAUGGCAUCAAUUUCUGUCUCUGCAGUAGGGUUGCCAGUUUUAUAGCAAAGUCCCGGGAACGCAAAAAAAGUAAGAGCAAAAAAAACUGUGAUGCUUUACCCAAAUCAAAUCAAAUUAGAUACUUAAACUAAGGUAUUUAUAUAUAAUUACCAAAAUAACAUAAAUUAACGACGAUAGAUAUAAAUGAAGCUAAAUAAAAAAAAAAUGUGAUAGAAUAAUAAAAAGCGUAAGUGUGUAUUUCUUUACUUUGUCAACAUUAUAACAUUUGAUUGGCUCUGUCUGGGAUAGUAAAAUGAUUUUCCAGGAUCUGGAACAAUUUGCCUAAAUCAGGGAUUUUUCUGAAAGCCUGGCAACCCUACUCUGCAGUCCUACUAAGGAAGAGUGAAAUUGGAAUCAUACUUGACGAGUACAUUGACUUAUUUACACAGUCCAAUUACUGAAGAAUGAAGGAAUGUAAAUCAAUAUAAACCCAAGAAUGUGCCUUAUUACAUCCUUCUGUUAUGCUAAAAUUAAACAAACAUUUGUUAAAAAAUUAAAAUAUAUUAAAUAAACUUUUA